ACUCCUACGGGAGGCAGCAGUGGGGAAUAUUGCACAAUGGGCGCAAGCCUGAUGCAGCCAUGCCGUGUGUGUGAAGAAGGCCUUCGGGUUGAUAAAGCAGCUUUCAGUCGUGAGGAAGGUAGUGUCAGUUAAUAGCUGCAUUAUUUGACGUUAGCGACAGAAGAAGGCACCGGCUAACUCCGUGCCAGCAGCCGCGGUAAUACGGAGGGUGCGAGCGUUAAUCGGAAUUACUGGGCGUAAAGCGCAUGCAGGUGGUUUGUUAAGUCAGAUGUGAAAGCCCGGGGCUCAACCUCGGAAUUGCAUUUGAAACUGGCAGACUAGAGUACUGUAGAGGGGGGUAGAAUUUCAGGUGUAGCGGUGAAAUGCGUAGAGAUCUGAAGGAAUACCGGUGGCGAAGGCGGCCCCCUGGACAGAUACUGACANUCAGAUGCGAAAGCGUGGGGAGCAAACAGGAUUAGAUA
Molecule: ribosomal RNA, 461 nt
Filed under: uncultured bacterium
Lineage: Bacteria
Description: bacterial SSU rRNA
Rfam family: Bacterial small subunit ribosomal RNA
Source: RNAcentral